RNAcentral lists this ribosomal RNA (369 nucleotides) under Triticum aestivum (bread wheat). Its description in RNAcentral is "partial small subunit ribosomal RNA". Lineage: Eukaryota; Viridiplantae; Streptophyta; Magnoliopsida; Poales; Poaceae. The record is from RNAcentral.
AUGCGAGACAGCUCUGAUUAUCCGUUCAUUGGACAGUCUCAGGAACGAUUGUAUGCUUGGUGUAUAAAUGAUAAUGUUGAUGUUUGCCAACUUUUAGUUUGGGCUCUUGAGGAUUAUGGUGGUGCAAAGUGGGCCUUGAAGGAUACUGUUAACGUUUCAGAACUGUUUGGAAGGGAUCGUUACAAAUAUGUGGAGCCCUUAGCAAUUCAUCCAGAUUGUGAUUUGAUUUUCCUUACCGACCAGAGGGGGAAGGCUAUCUCAUAUGAUAUGGACAGCAAGAAAGUGCAUGUUAUCGGCACUCACGAAACAUUCUAUGGUGCUAUACCUUAUGUUCCAUGUUUUGCGGAAUGGCCGUCAGAUGGUCACUGA